AGACAGACGCAGCAGCAGCGGGCGGCGGUCCCGCGAGCGGAAUCAAAGCCCGCCAGGAGUCAGAACUGGAUGUGCUCAAGUUAUUUGAAGAUCUCUGCUUUUCAAGGUUGGCAUCUCACCUCCUUUGUCCCUGGAAAGAGAUACCCUCCAGAUGGCCACACUAGUUGAAAAUGUCCAACAUCUCAGAAAAGAAUCAGGUUGGGAAAGAUUCACCUGAAAGAACAACAGUGAUGUUAUAGGCCUGGCAGCAUGCUGAAUGAACUUCAGUUAUGGAUCAGACACAGAGAUGCGCCUCACAAAGAUCUGAGGAGGAAUUAAACCACAGGAAAGAGAAACAAUCACUGUGACCCUGGAUUUGAAAUUGGAUUCCUCCAAAGAUCUUGGGACUGCUGAGAAGUACAGCAGGGACUGAUUAUUCAGCAUCAUGCAUUGAUGUUACUGCUGGCAAGGCAAAAUAAAAGAAGAGGCAAACAAAAAAUAGGUGUCCUUAGCGCAUUAAUGCUACUGCAUGCUUCCAGUGAGAGAAAGAUAAAAUAAAAGGAGAGAAGGUUAGAGAGGAUCUUGCUGGAAGCUUGACUGAUGAUUAUGUGCCAUCAAACCAGCAUCAACUCUUAGCAACCACAUAGAUUUUCUCCAUAAUGAUCUGCCUCUAAC
Molecule: non-coding RNA, 654 nt
Organism: Python bivittatus (Burmese python)
Lineage: Eukaryota; Metazoa; Chordata; Lepidosauria; Squamata; Pythonidae
Source: RefSeq, a predicted model, not a curated record